AGUUUUGCUGGAGUGGACUCUAAGAAGUUCAUUCAGAUGGUCGAACAUAAGAAGAAGAGAAUCCUCGAGAAGAAAGAAGGCCCACUGAAAUGGCAGCAAAAACAUUAUGAAUAUGCGACCAACAUCUCAUGGAUCCGCUCAUGCAUUAUCACACACCACCACGGAUUAAAAGCAAGAGUAUGGAUAUUUGACAAUGUGAGAGAUAUCCAAGCCAGAGGCUAAAAGGUGUUGUGAGCCCGCAACAGCAAAAAGGAGCAUGGAGUGAUCGGUGGCGCCCCAGACAAAGUGGUGUAGAACCAAGAAGAAUGAUCAAGGGUGAACACAUGUCUAGCGUGUUCUUAAAGGUGUUUCAUUUUCCAAGACAAAUUUAGAUGGUUAUAUAUUUU
This is a long non-coding RNA of Lolium rigidum, 386 nucleotides long. RefSeq lists it as uncharacterized. The transcript is spliced from 3 exons. The record is from RefSeq and is a predicted model, not a curated record. Lineage: Eukaryota; Viridiplantae; Streptophyta; Magnoliopsida; Poales; Poaceae.